CAGCCGCCACGGUAAUACGGAGGAUCCGAGCGUUAUCCGGAUUUAUUGGGUUUAAAGGGUGCGUAGGCGGCCUAUUAAGUCAGGGGUGAAAGACGGUAGCUUAACUAUCGCAGUGCCUUUGAUACUGAUGGGCUUGAAUGUACUUGAAGUGGGCGGAAUGUGACAAGUAGCGGUGAAAUGCAUAGAUAUGUCACAGAACACCGAUUGCGAAGGCAGCUCACUAAAGUAUGAUUGACGCUGAGGCACGAAAGCGUGGGGAUCAAACAGGAUUAGAUACCCCAGUAGUCCCUGUCUCUUAUAC
This 301-nucleotide ribosomal RNA is filed under the name uncultured bacterium. RNAcentral's name for it is "partial 16S ribosomal RNA". It matches the Rfam family "Bacterial small subunit ribosomal RNA", at positions 509 to 807 of the family's 1533-position model. The record is from RNAcentral.